GAGCAUUGCAAUUAUUGCUCUUCAAUGAGGAAUUCCUAGUAAGCGCAAGUCAUCAGCUCGCGUUGAUUAUGUCCCUGCCCUUUGUACACACCGCAAGGAGUUUAGGGUAGGCCUUGCGCUGACAUUGGCUGAUACUUACUUAUCAUCA
Molecule: non-coding RNA, 148 nt
Filed under: Rhizopogon vesiculosus
Lineage: Eukaryota; Fungi; Basidiomycota; Agaricomycetes; Boletales; Rhizopogonaceae
Description: Eukaryotic small subunit ribosomal RNA
Rfam family: Eukaryotic small subunit ribosomal RNA
Source: Rfam by way of RNAcentral